AAUAAUAGCAUUGUAGUCUUAUUUGAGUUCAGAAAAUUGGCGCCCCUUUAUGUAAUCCGUCUUGUGCCUAAAAUGCAGGUGAGGACUGCAUCUCAAUCUAGAGCUACAAAAUCCGAUGUUGCUAGUGUUAAGGGGACAAUCUCAAAUCAAGCAUAAAAAGACAUGCCAAGAAAACCAAAUAGAAGUCACAGCGAUAUUUCGUUAACACACAAAAAAAAAAGAAGCCCAGAUUGGACGCACCUGGCACUCUUUUGUGUCCAACUGCCAGAAUGCCAAAGCCAGAGAUAACUUGCUUUGUAUAGGUUUCUUCGGGUUCAAAAGCUAAUGUACUUAACCAACAUAAAAGCACUGAACAACAACUAAUAGCAAGAAAGGUAGUCACGUCCCGUGCUUCCUGUACAGAGAAAGCUAGCCAUAGACCAAUUUCUUGUGUCUACUCGAUAAAGUUCAGACGUCGUAUAAAACCUAAAAGAAGUUUUUGAUAUCGAUUUUAGUUCUUUAUGAAGCUAGAGGAGAAAGUGCAUGCCAAAGAGGAAGAAAUACAUCAGCUCCAGGCAAGAACCCAGGAAAAGAAAGAAGCAGAGAUCAAACAGCUACGGAGAAAUUUCAAUUUCAAAGAAACUCCCAUGCCUGCUUUCUACCAUGAACCUAGUUGCCGCUCAGUAAAAAACGAGGAGUUAGCAAGUAAAACUAAAUCCAGUAAAUAAUAAAGCAGGCCUUCGACUGUAGGGGCUAGAGCUACUAGUGCAAUAGAGAACACUGUUCGUUGUUCAAGGGCAGAAGUUUAUAAUAGAUGUUUCACUAAUGAACGUCUAAAUGUGGCCGAUUCACCAUAAGUUUCAGAAGUAACCGUUCAUUCUUCAGCAGAGUUAUUAGACAGCAGCGUGCCGUCUUCAGCUCCAACAAGCAAAACAUCCAAGCAAACCUAAUCAAAUUGAAUGGUAACUCAAAAGAGAGCGCAAGAGAAAAGGCUGGUCGCAAAUUCUCCAAGAUUAAGAACAUCAGAUUGUAUCAAGAGGAACAAGGACUUUAAAGCUGAAUACAAAACAAAGGUUGUUGCGCGAAGAACAGGAAACAAUGCAAUGAGAAAGGAUAUUAGAAGUGUGGACUUGAGCCAUAGUACAAGAGUGGGCCGUUUAGCUGUUGGUGUUGCUUCCUAGACACCGUCAUGCUAUUUAGUUAUUUCUGUUGGUCUGAAUCUUCUUAUAUUCUCAGCAUAGCAAAGAUGAUUGGUCUCGUAUUUGAGACGAUUUACUUAGUGAGUAGGUUAGCAUUUCUGUUAGAUAUGCUGCAUAUAAUUAUCUCUAGUUUUAGAUAGAUAAUGUCUUUAAGCCAAGUUCUUGAUAUAUACCAUAAAUGUUGUGCUAUUAAAGAUCAA
RNA transcript from Capsicum annuum, 1378 nucleotides. RefSeq lists it as uncharacterized. The transcript is spliced from 5 exons. The record is from RefSeq and is a predicted model, not a curated record. NCBI's taxonomy places the organism in Eukaryota, Viridiplantae, Streptophyta, Magnoliopsida, Solanales, Solanaceae.